AGUGCUUUUCGCUUGUUUGACCUAUUGCACCAUUGCGAACACCGUACAAUACAUGCAGCUGUAUGACAAGUGCAAAUCUUUUCAUUACUGGAGUAACAAACAAAUUCGACGAUCAAACACACUCAACAUAAUGACACCGUGCAGUCGAACUGCCCUGUGUCGGUCGUAGUGCUUACUAUUUCCCACGGUCAUGACGGUGUGCUUGAACUCUGACUGCUUGCAUCUCCUAAGUGGUUUAUGACCAGUGACCCAUGAAUCAUGUGUGGUAUAUACUGCCUGCUCGCCCCAUCCUCACCUGAUGGACUGUGUCAUCUGCAAGCAAAUCUGGUCACAUCAAAGCUGUACAAGAGCCUGAUACUGAGGGGCCCUGACUGCUCUAAUGACCUCCUCAAACCCAUUGGUGUUAGGAGGAUAGAUCAUUCCCAACAGUUUCAGCAGUUGCAUGCAUUCUUCACUGGACAUGUUCUUCGUCAGAGAGGAACACUGACAUCCCAGCCCAUGGAAGACUCUGAUGGCAAUGUGCUGAUGUGGAAUGGAGAGAUAUUUGCUGGAAUCAAGGUUGAUCUUGCUGAUAAUGAUGGUCACUUGCUGUUGACCAUGUUGCAGUCCAGUCAAUCAAACCAAGAUAUUUUGACAGUUCUUAGCCAAAUUAAGGGCCCCUGGAGCUUCAUUUAUUGGCAGGAGUCCCAGCAUUGUCUCUGGUUUGGACGGGAUUGUCUUGGUCGACGAAGUCUUCUCUGGGGGUGCUUUGGAGAUGGUAAUCAGUCCUUUGCCCUAUCAUCUGUUGCUAGGCGACCAGAGAUCAACACUAAUGAGAGAUGGUCAGAGGUACCCGCAGAUGGAAUCUUCUGUCUAGAUGUUAAACAGUGGUCUCAACAUUCAGGGCUGCCUAUCCAGGUGAUGCUGUUUCCAUGGCAACAAGAUGCAGUUUCCUCAUCAGGGAGUGUUUUUAGUCCUACCGUUUCAGAUGAACUCAAAGAAGCUGUCUCCAAUGGAGACCUCCUAUCACAUCUAGAGCCACAUAAUAGCAAUUUUUUGGGCCAAAGUUUGAAUCCUGAUCUCAGCUUUGACAUCAUGACGGAAGGUGUAAAGAGUCCAAUAGCUCCAAUGAAUAUGUCAGUUCCAACUAAGACUGAGGAAGAGCUCUUGUCCUUGUGGGGAGAACAAGUUAAGUUACAGCUUCUCAAAAAUUGUCCAAGGGAGAUUCUAUUAAAGGGGAGUGCAUGUUCCAUGGAAAUGGAUGACCUGCACCAUUUUGAAGGAAUAAGAAUAUUUGAUGUAAGCAAAAGUGUCUUACCUGGAGGGAGUAUAUCAGAAUUGUUACCUCACAAAAUGGAGCAUGAGUUGGCCAGAAAUUCUGACAAGUCAGACAGCCAGUUGGGAAUCGAUUCAAACCACAGAAUCGCACAACCCCCAUCCCGGGACCAAAUUCAAGAAAAUUUGCCUUCAGCCAUGACAAAGCCUUCUGCAGUUACAGACUGUGCUCGUCAAGAUGUGAUCGGAGAAGAAGAUGCCUUGCCAAGACAGGAAUUAAAGCUUGGAAGGGAGCCUAGUGAAAGGAUCAGGGAUUGCUUAGCAUCAAUCAGUGUGUUUGAGUGUGAGAUGAUGAAGGCUGUCACUGGAUUGAUUAAAAUCCUACAGGAGUCUGUGAAAAGGAGGGUCUUCAAUCUUCCUCGUCCCCGUAGAAAUGACAAUCUCCAAGAUCCACAUUUGUCACCGUCCUCUCACGACAGCAUCUUCAAUUGGCACUUAGAUGUGCAUCCUGUUUCAGUGACAAGACAGGGGUGUUCCCCUAUCCACAGCGAGUCAGAUUCAGAGUUUAAAGUGAAACGCAGUGACAGUCAAGAUGCAGAGCGCCCCCACUGGCAGUGCCACAGUAGGGUAGCCAUUUUAUUCUCUGGAGGGAUUGACUCCAUGGUGAUAGCAGCCUUUGCUGACAGGUGCAUACCUAAGGAGGAAUCUGUUGACUUAAUCAAUGUGGCUUUCCAGCAGCUACCAAAAACAUCAGGCAAAACUUCAGCAGACAGGGAGAACCAAGAAGAAAGCUAUGAUGUCCCAGACAGACUAACAGGACGGGCAGGUCUGGAGGAGCUCAGGAAACUUAACCCAGAGAGAAGAUGGAACUUUGUUGAGGUGAAUGUGACAUUUGAGGAACUUCGGAAAAUGAGAGGAGAGAGAGUCAGUGAUCUUAUCUAUCCACUGCAGUCUGUGAUGGAUGACAGCAUUGGCUGUGCUAUCUGGUUUGCUGCAAGAGGACAAGGUCUUCUGACCACUGAGACGGGCAUUGCACAGCAACCAUAUGAAAGCCCUGCGAAGGUUGUACUGGUUGGCAUGGGAGCUGAUGAACAACUAGCUGGCUAUUCCAGACAUCGUACAAAAUUCAAGUCAUCAGGAUGGAGUGGUCUUGUUUGUGAGGUCAACAUGGAGGUCUCAAGGAUAGCCAGUAGGAACCUAGGCAGGGAUGACAGAAUUAUAUCUGACCAUGGACGUGAGGCUCGCUUUCCAUUUCUAGAUGAAGACGUCGUGAAUUAUCUGAACCACCUUCCUAUUUGGCUUAAGGUGAGGCAACUUUUGAUCAUCAUCAACGUAGUCAGGUGCACUGUGAAUCAACUACCAUGUUCUGAUUGAUGAAUAUGUUGAUCACCUGCCAUUGAAUUAUUUACCUUAACAAACACCACAGAAAUUCCAUUCAACUGGGUAAUGGAAGUUCCACAGUGUAGUCACAAGUUGGCAAUGCUGAUCUGAGUUUGCCAAGGGGAGUUGGGGAGAAACUGCUCCUGCGAGUGAUGGCUCGGGCAAUAGGCC
Molecule: unclassified non-coding RNA, 2805 nt
Filed under: Acanthaster planci (crown-of-thorns starfish)
Lineage: Eukaryota; Metazoa; Echinodermata; Asteroidea; Valvatida; Acanthasteridae
Description: asparagine synthetase domain-containing protein 1- like, transcript variant X3
Source: RNAcentral